UGAGUAAUACAUCGGAACGUGUCUUCUAGUGGGGGAUAACUGCCCGAAAGGGCAGCUAAUACCGCAUGAGACCUGAGGGUGAAAGCGGGGGAUCGCAAGACCUCGCGCUGGAAGAGCGGCCGAUGUCCGAUUAGCUAGUUGGUGAGGUAAAGGCUCACCAAGGCGACGAUCGGUAGCCGGUCUGAGAGGACGACCAGCCACACUGGGACUGAGACACGGCCCAG
This 224-nucleotide ribosomal RNA is filed under the name uncultured bacterium. Its description in RNAcentral is "partial 16S ribosomal RNA". It matches the Rfam family "Bacterial small subunit ribosomal RNA", at positions 107 to 334 of the family's 1533-position model. The record is from RNAcentral.